ACGGAAGGCAGCAGUGGGGAAUAUUGCACAAUGGGCGGAAGCCUGAUGCAGCGACGCCGCGUGGGGGAUGACGGCCUUCGGGUUGUAAACCCCUUUCAGCAGGGAAGAAGCGGAAGUGACGGUACCUGCAGAAGAAGCGCCGGCUAACUACGUGCCAGCAGCCGCGGUAAUACGUAGGGCGCGAGCGUUAUCCGGAAUUAUUGGGCGUAAAGAGCUCGUAGGCGGCUUGUCGCGUCUGCUGUGAAAGCCCGGGGCUCAACCCCGGGUCUGCAGUGGGUACGGGCAGGCUGGAGUGCAGUAGGGGAGACUGGAAUUCCUGGUGUAGCGGUGAAAUGCGCAGAUAUCAGGAGGAACACCGAUGGCGAAGGCAGGUCUCUGGGCUGUAACUGACGCUGAGGAGCGAAAGCAUGGGGAGCGAACAGGAUUAGAUACCCUGGUA
RNAcentral lists this ribosomal RNA (439 nucleotides) under uncultured Arthrobacter sp. RNAcentral describes it as "bacterial SSU rRNA". It matches the Rfam family "Bacterial small subunit ribosomal RNA", at positions 341 to 792 of the family's 1533-position model. The record is from RNAcentral. Lineage: Bacteria; Bacillati; Actinomycetota; Actinomycetes; Micrococcales; Micrococcaceae.